RNAcentral lists this ribosomal RNA (440 nucleotides) under uncultured bacterium. RNAcentral's name for it is "partial 16S ribosomal RNA". It matches the Rfam family "Bacterial small subunit ribosomal RNA", at positions 338 to 795 of the family's 1533-position model. The record is from RNAcentral.
CCUACGGGAGGCAGCAGUGGGGGAUAUUGCACAAUGGGGGGAACCCUGAUGCAGCGAAGCCGCGUGGGUGAAGAAGCGCCUAGGCGCGUAAAGCCCUGUCAGCAGGGAAGAAAAUGACGGUACCUGAAGAAGAAGCCCCGGCUAACUACGUGCCAGCAGCCGCGGUAAUACGUAGGGGGCAAGCGUUAUCCGGAUUUACUGGGUGUAAAGGGGGCGCAGACGGCGAUGCAAGCCAGGAGUGAAAGCCCGGGGCCCAACCCCGGGACUGCUCGUGGAACUGCGUGGCUGGAGUGGAGGAGGGGCAGGCGGAAUUCCUGGUGUAGCGGUGAAAUGCGUAGAUAUCAGGAGGAACACCGGUGGCGAAGGCGGCCUGCUGGACUGCAACUGACGUUGAGGCACGAAAGCGUGGGGAGCGAACAGGAUUAGAUACCCCUGUAGUC